Long non-coding RNA from Ziziphus jujuba (common jujube), 2434 nucleotides. RefSeq lists it as uncharacterized. The record is from RefSeq and is a predicted model, not a curated record. The transcript has 2 exons. NCBI's taxonomy places the organism in Eukaryota, Viridiplantae, Streptophyta, Magnoliopsida, Rosales, Rhamnaceae.
UGUCAUCUAUAUGAUUUCACAGUUUGUGCUGAAAUAUCCUAUUUGAGGAUUUUGUUCUGUUUCUCGGCAUAUAAUUCUCCAAAUUUACUCGUCAUACAUCUGCAGGUUACCCCUGUAAAGAUGGUGAAUGGAGCUACUUCUAACAUUGCCCCUGUAAAAAUGUGAAACUAAAACAUUUCAUUUGCAUGCAGCUUUUCUCUAGUCCAACUUUGCUUUUAUUUAUUUUUUUAUUUUAAUAUUCUAAAACGAUUUACAUACUUUGCUUCUUGAAGCUACAUGCUCCACUCAUUUUUUUGCCACCGUGGUCUUUGUAUUUUUGUAUUUUUGUCUUUUCCAUUGAACUUUUUUCUUACAAAAGCAUAAUAUAACUUAAUAGAUAGGGAAACUUUUCAAUAUUGUUCUGUUCUUCUCUUUAUCUGAAGCCAAGGAUCAAUUUCAUUUGAAAAAAAUCAAAUGGAGUUGUCAAUGUAAAAAUAUAUUCAGUGCGUGUAGGGAGUAAGCUGCCUGUUUAAAAUCGUUAUUUCCUAAUUAAGCUAUUGGGACAAUAUUCUACUGGUAUAGUAUUGAGUUGGUAUAAAUUGUUGAAAAAUUUUGGUUUUGGAUUUAUCAAAUCUUUGAUAGAAACUUGAGACAAUUUUUUAGCUGUAAUUAUUGUGUUUACUUUAAGGAGUUGUCUAAGGUGACUGUUGUAACUCAAUUGGUCAAAACUAGUAAAUCCAUGAGAUGUUACCUGAAAGGGACAAUAAUAUCAUGUAAAACGUCAUAAAUGUUGAUGCACCUGAAUUUCAUGGUUCAGAAGUUAACCGCUUUACUGGCCAAGAAACAUUUGGUGACCCAAGGAAACAAUGGAAAAUCUCAAUGAAAUUUUUUAAGAUACCAUAUAAUAUGUUUAUGAUGCAAGUUUUAAGUAUGAAAAUGCAAGAGAAUUAACAGUGUCAAUGGUCGUUGAAAAUACAUAUAUAAAUAGUGAGAAAAGUAACUUUUUUUUGUCUGAGGUAGAUUCAUAUAUAGUAAGUAUAGAUCAUUAUGAAAAUAUAUAUACAUAUAUAUAAAGUGUAGACUUUUGUAAUUAAAGAACUUGUAUGUAUGACAUGAUUUUUAUUUCCUUUCUUGAUCUUUAAAUGAUUUAGAGGAAUAGGAAGAGGAGCUUGUGUUGAUGCUUGCUCAGUAAUUUUGAAGAGAAUUUGAUGAUUUCAGUAUGUGCAACUCGUAUUCUGGAGAAACUUGUGAACCAAUCCUUCGAAGCCUGCAGACCCUGAAAUCUGAUAUGCUAGCUCCACCAUGUAACCAGCAGGCAAACCAAGAUGCUAUGCAGGUAGUUUUAGUCCUUUUCUUGAUGUUAUGCAGGUUUUAUUCAUGUCUAGUUAAUGAUUUUGAAAUACAUGAAGCAUGGUUUAGACAAUUGUUGUCAUUGUCUAAUAUUUUUUUGGUACGAGCCAUUAGAUGUGAAUGCUAAAUCAUUAUGAGUUGUAGGUUUAACUAACAACAUGGCUUGCAGAGGUGAACAUAGAUACUGAUAGGUAGGAAUAAGUUUAGGAACUUUCAUUUUUGUUUUCUGUUCGUUUGAAGACUUCAUAUUUGUAGUAUAUUCAUCCUUUCUAUAUCUUAAAUUGCAAAAACAAAACAUCAACAUUUUUUUCCUUCAAGAAAAAAAGAAUCUUGAAAUACAAACCAUGCGACCAAAGGUAGUAAAAUUGCUUGUCAUCAGUUACUUUAUCUGUGCUCAUAAAAUUGUUUUAGAAAUGUAUUUUAAAAAUUAUACCACUGGUGCACCCUUAUAAAAUAAGGUCAGUUUCUGCAAAGUGUCAUAGUUUCUUAUAAUUUACAAGGAUGGAUGAAAUAUUUGCUGUAAUCUGGGAGGAAAUGCAUGUAACGCUCUUAUAAUAAGCUGCUUUGAUAGUAUUAAAAUAGCUAUAAAACAAAUGGGUUUGACGCUUUGAAGGAUGAAGUUCACUAGUGCAUUUUGAGAUUGAACUUUGUCAUUUGUGUAGAAAUGAGACAGCAAGUUGUAAUGUUAAUUUGGAAGUACAAUUUUUGUGAUCUAUUUAUAUGGUUGAGGGCAUUUGGUGGAAAUAAUGGUGCAAGGGAUUUCAAAUAUUUAUGUGGUGCUCCAUCAUUAUAAUGCUGGGGAAAAAAAAAAGUAAUUAAGAUUAUCUCUUAAACUGAUAGCCUGCAUUGCAAUGUGUUCAGAUGGCAAACUAAUAAAUGUUAAGCAGAAAAAAGGAAAGCAUCAUUAUAGAAAAUGGGCUAAACCGUAUAUGGAUAGUCAUUGAGGGCAUAUUCAUAAUUCUUAAGAAUAUACUUUGGUGAUUGUAUUUGUCGGUUGGUGAUGACUGGACACAGGUCUUGAUUGUAAAGUUGAGCAAAGCAAAUUGAGGAAUCAGGUACUUUCCAUUCCCAACACCUUUGGGAGAUGCUUUCGAUUUUAUACUUA